ACUAUUUUGGCAGAAAAAAUGUAAUGGUUUUAGAAGUCAUGUAUAUAUAAAUUAUUAUAUAAAUAGUA
Molecule: transfer RNA, 68 nt
Filed under: Lethe baucis
Lineage: Eukaryota; Metazoa; Arthropoda; Insecta; Lepidoptera; Nymphalidae
Description: tRNA-Leu
Source: RNAcentral